GGCCGCUCCCGUGGCGGAGACCUAGCCGCCGCCUCCUCCUCCCGCACCCGCUCGUCCCUCCCCCUCCUCCUCUACGCCUCCUCCACCCUAACCCUAGCAGCACCCCACGCCGCCGCCGUCUCCUUCGCCGAGCCCGCCAGACCCCCGCCGCCCACCUCCCCUACGUCGUCGCCGUCGUCCACCACCACCGCCACCGCGGCCCCAUCCUCUUUCCAUCCCUGCCGGCCCCAAUCCCCUCACCUUCUCUCCCGUGGCCAGUGGAUUCGCCCCGCGACCGCGCCGCCCUCUCCUCCUUCCUCCGGCCUCCCUGCCGUGCCGCCCCGCCGCCUCCUCCCUCGCUCGCUUCCUCUCCUCCCGCAGUCGCCUCCCUCCCUCCCUCGCUCUCGUGCAGUCGUCGCGGCGCUCCCGCAUCUCCUCCCCUUCCUCUCCCACCGCCAUGUUCGCGGAGGCGCUGUAGAUCCCCGCCGACCAGGCCGCGCUGGCACUCGGGGCGCUCGCCGCCGUGCUCCCCAGCGACGACGACGGGCGCCGCCACCAGUGCCUCCUUCUCCGCUGCUACCUGACCUCCUCCUCCUCCCCUCGUGCCAUUCCCCAACCCUAGCCGCCGCUCCCCGCUGGCCAUCCUCCCCGUCCACGGCUGCCACGCGCGUUCCCGCACCAACCCACCACCUCGCCGCGGGGGCGCGUCCGCCGGGGCUGCCCUUCCACGCCGUCUCCGUCCGCCCCCGCCACUCAACGGCCACGUCGGCCUCGGCGUCAAGUGCGCCAAGGAGGCGGCCACGGCCAUCCGCGGCGGCAUCAUCCUCGCCAAGCUCUCCAUCAUGCCCGUUAGGAGGGGCUACUGGGGGAACAAGAACGACCAGCCCCAUACCGUCCCAUCGUCAGUACGGUGUGUGCCUCCCCUUCUUCCCCCUUAUCCUCUCCCCUUCGCUCGGGGAGAAGAGGAACCCAACCGAAUCAAAUCCAGGGGAGGAGAGGCAAUCUGUAGAUAGAUAG
This 996-nucleotide ribosomal RNA is filed under the name Triticum aestivum (bread wheat). RNAcentral describes it as "partial small subunit ribosomal RNA". Lineage: Eukaryota; Viridiplantae; Streptophyta; Magnoliopsida; Poales; Poaceae. The record is from RNAcentral.